This 648-nucleotide unclassified non-coding RNA is filed under the name Hevea brasiliensis (rubber tree). The record is from RNAcentral. Lineage: Eukaryota; Viridiplantae; Streptophyta; Magnoliopsida; Malpighiales; Euphorbiaceae.
AAGCAUCAGCUUGAGCAACAUUCCGAGCCAUAGCUGUGAGAAGGGCGAUUCCAUGCUCGGCAGCUGCAACUGUAUUAGCAGUGGGCGCAUUAACAACAAGGCAUCCAUGCUCUGUUGCCGCCGCAAGAUCAACGUUAUCAAUCCCCACACCAGCACGUCCAACAACCUUCAGCCGUCCACCAGAAGAUUCAAAGAUCUCACGGGUCACCUUUGUUCCGCUCCUCACAACCAACGCAUCACAAAGAGAGAUCUUAGUGCACAGCUCCUCAGGAGUCAAGUUAUAUGAGCAAUCAACAUUCGCGAAUUCCUUUAAAAGUUUCAGCCCAGCCUCGCCUAGUUUUUCAGCAACGAGAACCGUAGGUUUGGCGUCCAUUGAGAAAACGACAAACCUCGGACACUGACGGGGGCUUCUGCGCGGGAGAGUAACCGCGGAGACACGAAAGGCAGAGGUAGAAGCGAGCUGGUUUUUCCAUGAGAGAGAGGCGCGUGAAGAUUUUGAAGAUAAAAUCAUAGUUGAAGAAGGUGAAGCCGCCAUUGUGGUAAGCUAUUCGGAGCGUAGCUCAGUAUGGUGAAACGGCGACGACGACGGCGGAAAAGGUUGAAAAUGAGUUGUUAUAGUGGAAGGAAUUGGAGAGGGUUUUAUGGGUG